UACGAAGGGAGCGAGCGUUGUUCGGAAUCACUGGGCGUAAAGCGUACGUAGGCGGAUAAGAAAGUCAGAUGUGAAAGCCCAGGGCUCAACCCUGGAACUGCAUUUGAAACUUCUUGUCUCGAGUUUGGUAGAGGAUAACGGAAUUCCGAGUGUAGAGGUGAAAUUCGCAGAUAUUCGGAGGAACACCAGUUGCGAAGGCGGUUAUCUGGGCCAAUACUGACGCUGAGGUACGAAAGCGUGGGGAGCAAACAGG
RNAcentral lists this unclassified non-coding RNA (253 nucleotides) under uncultured Alphaproteobacteria bacterium. RNAcentral describes it as "contains 16S-23S intergenic spacer region". It matches the Rfam family "Bacterial small subunit ribosomal RNA", at positions 524 to 776 of the family's 1533-position model. The record is from RNAcentral. Lineage: Bacteria; Pseudomonadati; Pseudomonadota; Alphaproteobacteria.